Molecule: transfer RNA, 73 nt
Filed under: Canis lupus familiaris (dog)
Lineage: Eukaryota; Metazoa; Chordata; Mammalia; Carnivora; Canidae
Also listed under: 1 other name
Rfam family: tRNA
About the family: Transfer RNA (tRNA) molecules are approximately 80 nucleotides in length. Their secondary structure includes four short double-helical elements and three loops (D, anti-codon, and T loops).
Source: Rfam by way of RNAcentral
ACCUGGCUGGCUCAGUUGGUAGAACAUGUGACUCUUGAUCUCAUGGUUGUGAGUUCGAGCCCCAUGUUGGGUA